This 292-nucleotide ribosomal RNA is filed under the name uncultured bacterium. Its description in RNAcentral is "partial 16S ribosomal RNA". It matches the Rfam family "Bacterial small subunit ribosomal RNA", at positions 505 to 796 of the family's 1533-position model. The record is from RNAcentral.
GUGCCAGCAGCCGCGGUAACACGUAGGGCGCAAGCGUUGUCCGGAAUUAUUGGGCGUAAAGAGCUCGUAGGUGGUCCGCUACGUCUGCUGUGAAAAUCCAGGGCUUAACCCUGGACUUGCAGUGGAUACGGGCGAACUAGAGGUAGGUAGGGGAGAAUGGAAUUCCCGGUGUAGCGGUGAAAUGCGCAGAUAUCGGGAGGAACACCGGUGGCGAAGGCGGUUCUCUGGGCCUUACCUGACACUGAGGAGCGAAAGCGUGGGGAGCGAACAGGAUUAGAUACCCUGGUAGUCC